Molecule: ribosomal RNA, 253 nt
Filed under: uncultured bacterium
Lineage: Bacteria
Description: partial 16S ribosomal RNA
Rfam family: Bacterial small subunit ribosomal RNA
Source: RNAcentral
UACGGAGGAUCCAAGCGUUAUCCGGAUUUAUUGGGUUUAAAGGGUGCGUAGGGGGCUUUUUAAGUCAGGGGUGAAAGACGGUAGCUUAACUAUCGCAGUGCCUUUGAUACUGAAGAGCUUGAAUACACUAGAGGUAGGCGGAAUGUGACAAGUAGCGGUGAAAUGCAUAGAUAUGUCACAGAACACCAAUUGCGAAGGCAGCUUACUAUGGUGUUAUUGACACUGAGGCACGAAAGCGUGGGGAUCAAACAGG